CCCUUAGAUGUUCUGGGCCGCACGCGCGCUACACUGAUGCAGUCAACGAGCCUAUCCUUGACCGACAGGUCCGGGUAAUCUUUGAAUCUGCAUCGUGACGGGGAUAGAUUAUUGCAAUUAUUAAUCUUCAACGAGGAAUGCCUAGUAGGCGCAAGUCAUCAGCUUGCGUCGAUUACGUCCCUGCCCUUUGUACACACCGCCCGUCGCUCCUACCGAUUGGGUGUGCUGGUGAAAUGUUCGGAUCGUCCGUUUGUCGCGGUUUCCGCGUCAUGUGGCUGAGAAGUUCAUUAAACCCUCCCACCUACAGGAAGGAGAAGUCGUAACA
Molecule: ribosomal RNA, 325 nt
Filed under: uncultured eukaryote
Lineage: Eukaryota
Description: partial 18S ribosomal RNA
Rfam family: Eukaryotic small subunit ribosomal RNA
Source: RNAcentral